AGCUAAGCCGGGCACCGGCUA
Molecule: small RNA, 21 nt
Filed under: Paenibacillus sp. P22
Lineage: Bacteria; Bacillati; Bacillota; Bacilli; Caryophanales; Paenibacillaceae
Source: RNAcentral